AAACUUAAAUGAAUUGGCGGGGGAGCACACAAGGGGUGAAGCUUGCGGUUUAAUUGGAGUCAACGCCGGAAAUCUCACCGGGAGGAGGAGGUGCAUGGCCGUCGCCAGUUCGUGCCGUGAGGUGUCCUGUUAAGUCAGGCAACGAUCGAGACCCGCGUCCUCUGUUGCCACACUGAGGAGACCGCCGCUGAUAAAGCGGAGGAAGGAGCGGGCCACGGCAGGUCAGUAUGCCCCGAAUCUCCCGGGCCACACGCGAGCUGCAAUGGCAGGUACAAUGAGUUCCGACCUCGAAAGGGGGAGGCAAUCUCGAAAGCUUGCCGUAGUUGGGAUUGAGGGUUGUAACCCAUCCUCAUGAACAUGGAAUCCCUAGUAAUCGCGUGUCACUAGCGCGCGGUGAAUACGUCCCUGCUCCUUGCACACACCGCCCGU
RNAcentral lists this ribosomal RNA (429 nucleotides) under uncultured bacterium. Its description in RNAcentral is "partial 16S ribosomal RNA". It matches the Rfam family "Archaeal small subunit ribosomal RNA", at positions 852 to 1353 of the family's 1478-position model. The record is from RNAcentral.